Molecule: ribosomal RNA, 620 nt
Filed under: uncultured Acidaminococcus sp.
Lineage: Bacteria; Bacillati; Bacillota; Negativicutes; Acidaminococcales; Acidaminococcaceae
Description: bacterial SSU rRNA
Rfam family: Bacterial small subunit ribosomal RNA
Source: RNAcentral
GAUGGGGUCUGAUCGUCGAAUUUGUUUCGGUGUUUCUUACUGGCGAACGGGUGGGUGCAGGUGGUCAACCGGCCUCGGGGUUGGGGACGAGGUUCUCAAAGGAGUGCUAAUGCCGAAGGUCUGCAUUAGUAUUCGGGGUUUUGGAGGAAAGAGGGCCUCUAUUUAUAACCUAUCGGCAGGAUGUGGGCCUGCGUCUGAUUAGUUAGUUGGUGGGGUAACGGGUCACCAAUGCGAUGAUCGGUAUGCGUGCGGAAAGGAUGAAGGGCGAGUUUGGGACUGAGACAGGGCCCAAACUACUACGGGAGGCAGCAGUGGGGAAUCUUCCGCAAUGGGCGAAAGCCUGACGGAGCAACGCCGCGUGAGUGAUGAAGGCCUUCGGGCUGUAAAACUCUGUUGUCAGGGACGAAGGUGCGCUUUUCGAACAGAUGAGCGUAUUGACGGUACCUGACGAGGAAGCCACGACUAACUACGUGCCAGCAGCCGCGGUAAUACGUAGGUGGCAAGCGUUGUCCGGAAUUAUUGGGCGUAAAGAGCAUGUAGGCGGGCCUUUAAGUCCGACGUGAAAAUGCGGGGCUCAACCCCGUAUGGCGUUGGAUACUGGAGGUCUUGAGUGCAGGAGA